Molecule: ribosomal RNA, 253 nt
Filed under: uncultured bacterium
Lineage: Bacteria
Description: partial 16S ribosomal RNA
Rfam family: Bacterial small subunit ribosomal RNA
Source: RNAcentral
UACGUAGGGUGCAAGCGUUAAUCGGAAUUACUGGGCGUAAAGGGCGCGUAGGCGGUUUGUACAGUCAGGUGUGAAAUUCCCGGGCUCAACCUGGGGGCGGCACUUGAUACAUAUGGACUUGAGUGGGGAAGAGGGUCGUGGAAUUCCCAGUGUAGAGGUGAAAUUCGUAGAUAUUGGGAAGAACACCGGUGGCGAAGGCGGCGACCUGGUCCGUGACUGACGCUGAGGCGCGAAAGCGUGGGGAGCAAACAGG